GAUGAACGCUGGCGGCGUGCCUAAUACAUGCAAGUCGAACGGGGAGUAGCAAUACUCUUAGUGGCGAACGGGUGAGUAACGCGUUGGUACCUGCCCCGAAGCGGGGGAUAACGGACCGAAAGGUCCGCUAAUACCCCAUGUGCUCGGUAACGAGUAAAGGUGAAAACCACUUUGGGAGGGGCCUGCGUCCCAUCAGCUAGUUGGUAAGGUAACGGCUUACCAAGGCGAUGACGGGUAGGGGACCUGAGAGGGUGGCCCCCCACAAUGGAACUGAAACACGGUCCAUACACCUACGGGUGGCAGCAGUAGGGAAUAUUGGUAAUGGGCGCAAGCCUGAACCAGCAACGCCGCGUGUGCGAUGACAGCCUUCGGGUUGUAAAGCACUUUUGACUGGGACGAGGAAGGACGGUACCGGUCGAAUCAGCCUCGGCUAACUACGUG
Molecule: ribosomal RNA, 441 nt
Filed under: uncultured bacterium
Lineage: Bacteria
Description: partial 16S ribosomal RNA
Rfam family: Bacterial small subunit ribosomal RNA
Source: RNAcentral